ACUGUGAUUGGUUUAGAGGGAAUAACUUUCUGGACCAAUGCCCAGAUCCAUCCUCUAACUUACUACCUAAUUCAAACGGAGAUGGAAAAUUGCAGUCACAGGAAUAAGAAGUCUUUUAUAUUUGCAUUAGUAAUUUCUGCUUCUGUUGUACUCUGUAUUUCCUUGGUGUUGGUUGUGGUCAGUAUUCAUGGAAGGAAGAAGUCCAGUAGACUCUCUAACUUAGGAGGCAAAGUAAUGGUGACUUUUGCAGAUGCUCCAACUGAACUGAGCUAUGGCAGUGUGAUCAGAGCAACUGGGAAUUUCAGCAUUAGGAGCCUCAUAGGCACAGGUGGCUCUGGGUCAACUUACAAAGCUGAAUUGGCCCCAGGUUACCUUGUA
Molecule: unclassified non-coding RNA, 378 nt
Filed under: Hevea brasiliensis (rubber tree)
Lineage: Eukaryota; Viridiplantae; Streptophyta; Magnoliopsida; Malpighiales; Euphorbiaceae
Source: RNAcentral